Molecule: long non-coding RNA, 596 nt
Organism: Vombatus ursinus (common wombat)
Lineage: Eukaryota; Metazoa; Chordata; Mammalia; Diprotodontia; Vombatidae
Exons: 3
Source: RefSeq, a predicted model, not a curated record
GGUCAAAAGUCUUCUUUCAGCAAGAAGCCACAAGAUUGGAAUAACUAUGAUGGCUGUAGGAGAUCUCCCCUCAUGCUACCAGUUCUGGUGUGACCAGAGAAGCAGUAGAGACACCCAAGUGCCCCAGGCUGUAGCAAACAGUAGUAUAAGUGAUGAAGCAAGGCUGGAUACUCCGAGAAGAGGCAUCAAGGAAGAGAGAUCCCAGUUGCUGAAGAGGACUGCAAAUGAUGUGCAGAUGAAAAUAAUGGAUAAGAGUGGCUGGAUUUAGAGUUAGAGGAUUUGGGCUGGAAUCCCGAUACUGCCUAGUAUGACCUAAAUGACAAUGGGCAGAUCAGUUAAUUUCUCUGGACCUCAUUUUCUUCAUCUGUUAAAUUAAGGGAGUUGGAUUACAAUGGAGGUGGCUUGUUAGGUCCUCUCAUUUAAAAGUUUAUGAUUCUAUACUAAAUCUAAAAACUAAAUUUAUAUGAAUAUUUUCAUGAUAACUAGAACAUUAUUUUUAGUGAUUAUCCCAACCCCAGAAGUCCUAUGAUACUAGAUGCCUAAUAGAAACCCAAGUGUUUAAACUGACAGAUUUCAGGAAAAAAGGUAAUUUACUU